UACGGGGGGAGCAAGCGUUGUUCGGAUUUACUGGGCGUAAAGGGCGCGUAGGCGGCCUCCGCAAGUCAGUUGUGAAAUCUCCGAGCUUAACUUGGAAAGGUCAACUGAUACUGCGGGGCUAGAGUGCGGAAGGGGCAACUGGAAUUCUCGGUGUAGCGGUGAAAUGCGUAGAUAUCGAGAGGAACACCUGCGGCGAAGGCGGGUUGCUGGGCUGAUACUGACGCUGAUGCGCGAAAGCCAGGGGAGCGAACGGG
This 254-nucleotide ribosomal RNA is filed under the name uncultured bacterium. RNAcentral's name for it is "partial 16S ribosomal RNA". It matches the Rfam family "Bacterial small subunit ribosomal RNA", at positions 524 to 776 of the family's 1533-position model. The record is from RNAcentral.